This is a long non-coding RNA of Manduca sexta (tobacco hornworm), 579 nucleotides long. RefSeq lists it as uncharacterized. The transcript is spliced from 3 exons. Lineage: Eukaryota; Metazoa; Arthropoda; Insecta; Lepidoptera; Sphingidae. The record is from RefSeq and is a predicted model, not a curated record.
AGAAUUCUCAAAUAUUAACAGAUAAAACAAUUUAGGCCAAAUACGAUAUAAUAUAAGUAUGUGUGUGACAGGAAAACAACUGACAUUUUUUAUAGACUGAUAACAUAGAUAAGGAUAAAUGUACAACAUUUUCAAAUAAACCAAUAACUUAUCAAUAUACAAUUGAUAAAAUGUACAAGCUAAUGUUUUACGCGGUUAUUCUAGUUAAUCUAGCAUUAAAAGUACCUCCAAACUGCUGCAAUCCGUGGUGGGGCUUGGGAGGCAGACGGAAGGGAGGGCAGGUGCGGUUUACUGCUACGCAGACCGGCGCGCUGGAGCGUCGUUUCAACGCCAGCAAGUAUCUCAGCCCUGAUGAGGAGGACCCUCGCUUCCACGCUUAGACUUAGUGAUCGGCAGGUAAAAACGUGGUUCCAAAACCGUCGUGCCAAGUGGCGCAGGACGACUCCUGACUCCGCUGAUGCAGGAGCCCGCCCACCGCUGACGAAGGCUCCGACGACGACGUGCACAUAGCUGACGAAGACUGAACGGAACUGACCGAAUGAAUGAACGAUGAAAAUAGAAUAAACUUUAUUGCACGGC